Long non-coding RNA from Dermochelys coriacea (leatherback sea turtle), 1870 nucleotides. RefSeq lists it as uncharacterized. The transcript has 3 exons. Lineage: Eukaryota; Metazoa; Chordata; Testudines; Dermochelyidae. The record is from RefSeq and is a predicted model, not a curated record.
GGCUUUGCUGCCGCACGUCUCCUUCCAGGUCUUUCCUCGAGGACAGGGAGAGAAUUAGGAUUCACGUCUGUGAGCGUGAGGAGGAGCCUCUGUGGAGUUUUCUCCUUUCCUACCACUGAUUGUGCCAGAAAACGAAUUUUCCUUUGACAAGAUUUUUUUUUUCCACUAUCAUAAGUUCAUCACUUCACCACGUAACUGUCCGGAGCCUGGCUCGGAGCUGGAGGCAGGAGAAGAGAGACAAGAGUGAGAUUUCAGCAUCUUCAGCAUCAUUAUUCAUACUAGCCUGGCUUGACCUUCUCUGCCAGAAGAGAGGCAGACAGACUAGGAUCAGGACCACCAGCUGUGCCCCCAAAAGACUGGGCUCUGGGCCAAACCUCCAAAUAUAUGAGACCCACAUCCUUCCCCAGAACAACCCCCCAAACUGGACCAGACCCUCAUCCCUCCCCAGAAUGACCAUCCAUGACCUGGACAGCGCACCCAGCUCAGCCAGGAGGGAGAACUCUUGAAACUUUCUUUGGGUUUUCAUCUACCUGUUCUUCUACUUAAUUGUUGGGGGCUCAAAAUAUCUCACCAUGGGAAGUGAAGACGCAGGCACUGGAUUCUACCUCUCAGCAGCCAACAUCACACACCCAGACUGUUGCCUAUGGUAUUGUGGCAUGCUAGAAGUGCCAUUUCCAAGUGGUUCAAAUUUACAGCUAGAUUUGGCUGUUGGUUUCUGGCCCAAAAUUCUGAGGCCUGACAAUUUCAGCAAUGGCCAAAUGUGGCUUGUUGCUGUAAGGGUCCAAUUCUCACUUCGGGUGCCAGAGGGCCUGGCUGUAGCUCCCAGACAAGCCCUCCCUCAGGGUGUGUUUGCUGCUGUACCUUCUCAUUUCCAGGCUCCUUCUGCUUCGGUGUGUGGCUGGUCAUUUGUCUUUGGAAACUCCUGUGGAAUGCGGCUUUCCUUAGAGUUCCCAAAGGAUUUGUUGGACUUGGGCGUGUGUCUCCUUUAGGAUGCAAGAGAUCCCGCCUUCAAAUUUUGACCAAGUCCUUGCUAAGGCUCCGUUUGCAGCUGACUUUGGAGGUUUUUUUCACCUGUGUUUUUCUCCAACAUCCUGCAGAGGAAGAGCUGCAUUAGGGUCUGAAUGUGGUUUGUUGGUCCAAGUGUAGGAUUCUCACUCUGGGCGGGAGAGAGUGUGGAGAAGACCUUGGAAAGGUGAAGUCAGGGGCAGUACUUUUUCAGGUGCCUGUUUUUGUGGGAGUUUGUUUAAUUUUGUUUUUUGCUGAAAUUGAGAGAAAUGUUGUUCGCUUUUCAGCCUGAACGCUUGUUCUGUCCAGCAGCCCAAAGUGCAAGCCUUGUUUCACCUGUUUAAUGUUGGACAGUGACAGAGUCACAUUAGCACCUUUGACUCUUUUGGAGCCCCUUGAUUCUAUUUAAAUUACCACAAAAGUUCCCACCCCCCUGUGUGAGUAGCAUGUGGCACUGAGCAUCUUUUUUCCUUUCUCCCCUCUAGGAUGUCAGAAGCACCAUAGACAGGUGCAUGGCUCCUUCCCCUUCACAUGUCAUUAUUCUGGGUACAGGCUGAGACAAAACAACUAUCCCAGGGCACAACUGCAAAGUGGUGAAGGUGACUCAUGGGGUCAGAAUCUCCUUUGGUUUAUUACAAACCUGGGGUUCCUACAUUUCCUACAAAAUGAAAACUAUUUUCUAAAUCGCUUCUCUGCUAAGGCUGCAUCAACACUCCCCCUUGUGUCGGUAGAACGUGUGUCGCUUAGGGGUGUGAAUAAGCCACCCCCCCCGAGUGACACAAGUUACAGCGACCUAAGUGCCGGUGUGGACAGUGCUAUGUCGCUGGGAGAGUUUCUCCUGCCAACCUGGCUACGGCUGCUCACU